Molecule: long non-coding RNA, 400 nt
Organism: Lontra canadensis (Northern American river otter)
Lineage: Eukaryota; Metazoa; Chordata; Mammalia; Carnivora; Mustelidae
Exons: 3
Source: RefSeq, a predicted model, not a curated record
GUGAUUCUCUUUUCUUCUCCACAGCAACUCCAAAGUCUCAUUCAGCUUUUCAAAGACAAGCUAAAUAAUAGACAUUUCAUUUUGCAAAUGUAUUUCUCAAAUUGUUUCCAGCCCCAGGAUCAUUUAAGGAAGGAGAGAAGGAGGAGCCAUUGGGAAGGGCAUGAGGGGGCUUCAGAGUACUGGCAAUGUUUUCUACCUGGAAGACAGUUACAUGGGAGGAGGCCACUGCCAUGGUUCAGGGACAGUCAAGUACCCUAUGGAAAGACCCGUGUGAAGAACUGAGGUUUCUUGUCAACAGCCGAUGCCAACUUUCUACUCAUUUGAGUGAGCCAUCUUGGAAGCAAAGCCUCCCAGCCCUGGUCAUGCUUCCAGAUAACAACAGCUUCAGCUGCCAUCUUGU